RNAcentral lists this long non-coding RNA (351 nucleotides) under Chrysemys picta bellii (western painted turtle). RNAcentral's name for it is "lncRNA (ENSCPBG00000015429.1)". Lineage: Eukaryota; Metazoa; Chordata; Testudines; Emydidae. The record is from RNAcentral.
AACAAUGAGAGGUGACUUCUAACACUUGCUGUCUGGCAUAGCUACUCGUUAGUCGGUUGGUGUGUGACUCAUUCCUGCCAAUGACGAAUCGGAGACAAACCAGAAGCAGCCGUGCAAUGGUGCUUCCCCCAUUUUAUAUGUGAGGCACUCACUGGAGCCGAACACUUUUAGAAAAUGAAAUAAUUUCAGCAAAAGGCAGCUUUGACAUCCUGGACUGCCCGUGCAAAACAAACCCAUUGAAGAAGAUUAUCUUACCAUUUCCGUCUGGAGAAAGAAAGAAAUUCUUUGCCAAAUAGCUUUGGGACAGCUAUCCCACCCAAGGAAGAAUUCUUGAUGUUUAAAAACACACAA